Molecule: long non-coding RNA, 342 nt
Filed under: Homo sapiens (human)
Lineage: Eukaryota; Metazoa; Chordata; Mammalia; Primates; Hominidae
Description: HSALNT0400696
Source: RNAcentral
AGAAAUAGAGAAAUGCAGACUCUCAGCCUUGGAUUAAGCCUCGCCUGAAGCUGAUAUCUCAGGGAUUUUCCAGUAACCUCCUUCUUCUGCUUGAGCCAGUUUUGAGUUGGAUUUAUUUCCCUUUAAACAUCAAAGAGUCUUGCCCAGUGCAGAGGGAAUUCUUAUAAGGGAUUGUGAUUUGCACUCAAGUGCAAAUGGCUGAUGGCAAAGACCUCCCUGAUACCAGGUUUUGGUAGAAGAGAAGGAGGAAACUUGGGAGAUCAAAAUCUUCAUUGGACAGGUGGAGUAACAACCCCAAGAGGCUGCGUGGGCCCUGGCUCACACGAUGGCGAGCGACAGAGC